UACGUAGGGUGCAAGCGUUGUCCGGAAUUAUUGGGCGUAAAGAGCUCGUAGGCGGUUUGUUGCGUCGGCUGUGAAAUCCCGAGGCUCAACCUCGGGUCUGCAGUCGAUACGAGCAAACUAGAGUGUUGCAGGGGAGACUGGAAUUCCUGGUGUAGCGGUGAAAUGCGUAGAUAUCGGAAGGAACACCAGUGGCGAAAGCGGCUUCCUGGUCCAGCACCGACGUCAGGCACGAAAGCGUGGGGAGCAAACAGG
RNAcentral lists this ribosomal RNA (252 nucleotides) under uncultured bacterium. RNAcentral's name for it is "partial 16S ribosomal RNA". It matches the Rfam family "Bacterial small subunit ribosomal RNA", at positions 524 to 776 of the family's 1533-position model. The record is from RNAcentral.